This 90-nucleotide transfer RNA is filed under the name Candidatus Kaiserbacteria bacterium RIFCSPHIGHO2_02_FULL_54_22. Its description in RNAcentral is "tRNA-Leu". It matches the Rfam family "tRNA". Rfam says of the family: Transfer RNA (tRNA) molecules are approximately 80 nucleotides in length. Lineage: Bacteria; Candidatus Kaiseribacteriota. The record is from RNAcentral. RNAcentral also lists the same sequence under 3 other names.
GCCGGGGUGGCGAAAUUGGUUAGACGCACAGGGCUUAAAACCCUGCGAGGGCUUAAAAUCCUCAUGUGGGUUCGAUUCCCACCCCCGGCA